GAGGGUAUAGCUCCGUGGCGGAGUGCAUGCUUAGCAUGCACGAGGUCCUGGGUUCAAUCCCCAGUACCUCUG
Molecule: transfer RNA, 72 nt
Filed under: Camelus bactrianus (Bactrian camel)
Lineage: Eukaryota; Metazoa; Chordata; Mammalia; Artiodactyla; Camelidae
Also listed under: 2 other names
Rfam family: tRNA
About the family: Transfer RNA (tRNA) molecules are approximately 80 nucleotides in length. Their secondary structure includes four short double-helical elements and three loops (D, anti-codon, and T loops).
Source: Rfam by way of RNAcentral